CAGCAGCCGCGGUAAUACGAAGGGGGCUAGCGUUGCUCGGAAUUACUGGGCGUAAAGGGCGCGUAGGCGGACAGUUAAGUCGGGGGUGAAAGCCCGGGGCUCAACCUCGGAAUUGCCUUCGAAACUGGCUGUCUUGAGUACGGGAGAGGUGAGUGGAACUCCGAGUGUAGAGGCGAAAUUCGUAGAUAUUCGGAAGAACACCAGUGGCGAAGGCGACUCACUGGCCCGUUACUGACGCUGAGGCGCGAAAGCGUGGGGAGCAAACAGGAUUAGAUACCCCCGUAGUCCCUGUCUCUUAUAC
RNAcentral lists this ribosomal RNA (301 nucleotides) under uncultured bacterium. RNAcentral describes it as "partial 16S ribosomal RNA". It matches the Rfam family "Bacterial small subunit ribosomal RNA", at positions 509 to 807 of the family's 1533-position model. The record is from RNAcentral.